This 524-nucleotide ribosomal RNA is filed under the name uncultured bacterium. RNAcentral's name for it is "partial 16S ribosomal RNA". It matches the Rfam family "Bacterial small subunit ribosomal RNA", at positions 28 to 523 of the family's 1533-position model. The record is from RNAcentral.
GACGAACGCUGGCGGCGUGCCUAAUACAUGCAAGUCGAGCGCAGGAAACUGACGGAACUCUUCGGAGGGAAGGCAGUGGAAUGAGCGGCGGACGGGUGAGUAACACGUAAGGAACCUGCCUCAAGGAUUGGGAUAACUCCGAGAAAUCGGAGCUAAUACCGGAUAGUUCGUCGGACCGCAUGGUCCGUUGAUGAAAGGCGCUUCGGCGUCACCUUGAGAUGGCCUUGCGGUGCAUUAGCUAGUUGGUGGGGUAACGGCCCACCAAGGCGACGAUGCAUAGCCGACCUGAGAGGGUGAUCGGCCACACUGGGACUGAGACACGGCCCAGACUCCUACGGGAGGCAGCAGUAGGGAAUCUUCCACAAUGGACGAAAGUCUGAUGGAGCAACGCCGCGUGAGUGAUGAAGGUUUUCGGAUCGUAAAACUCUGUUGUAAGGGAAGAACACGUACGAGAGGAAAUGCUCGUACCUUGACGGUACCUUACGAGAAAGCCACGGCUAACUACGUGCCAGCCGCCGCAGUAA